GUAGAUAUAGUUUAACAAAAACAUUAGAUUGUGAUUCUAAAAACAGAGGUUGAAACCCCCUUAUCCACC
Molecule: transfer RNA, 69 nt
Filed under: Lamprologus similis
Lineage: Eukaryota; Metazoa; Chordata; Actinopteri; Cichliformes; Cichlidae
Description: tRNA-His
Rfam family: tRNA
About the family: Transfer RNA (tRNA) molecules are approximately 80 nucleotides in length. Their secondary structure includes four short double-helical elements and three loops (D, anti-codon, and T loops). Further hydrogen bonds mediate the characteristic L-shaped molecular structure. tRNAs have two regions of fundamental functional importance: the anti-codon, which is responsible for specific mRNA codon recognition, and the 3' end, to which the tRNAs corresponding amino acid is attached (by aminoacyl-tRNA synthetases). tRNAs cope with the degeneracy of the genetic code in two manners: having more than one tRNA (with a specific anti-codon) for a particular amino acid; and 'wobble' base-pairing, i.e. permitting non-standard base-pairing at the 3rd anti-codon position.
Source: RNAcentral